AAUACAUGUCGUCGUUGACUUUUAAGCACAUGUUUGACCAUUCGUCUUAUUCAAAAAAUUUAUGCAAAUAUUAUUUAUUUUCUUAUAAAAUGGUUUAUUAUUAUAGAUAUUUUAAACAUGACUUGUAUUUUUAUAUAUUUGUAUAAAUUUUUUGAAUAAGACGAAUGGUCAAACAUGUCAUAAAAAGUUAACGGCGACAUGUAUU
Molecule: microRNA precursor, 205 nt
Organism: Leersia perrieri
Lineage: Eukaryota; Viridiplantae; Streptophyta; Magnoliopsida; Poales; Poaceae
Rfam family: MIR812 microRNA precursor family
Source: Rfam